GACGAACGCUGGCGGCGUGCUUAACACAUGCAAGUCGAACGGAAAGGCCUCUUUCGGGGGGUACUGGGUGGGGAAACGGGGGGUUAACCCGUGGGUAACUUCCCCUUGACUUUGGGUUAAUUUCGGGAAACGGGGGCAAAUACGGGAUAGGAGCUCCUGCUGCAGGGUGGGGGUUGGAAGGUUUCGGGGGUUGGGGAUGGACUCGCGGCUUAUCAGCUUGUUGGUGGGGUAGUGGCUUACCAAGGCUUUGACGGGUAGCCGGCCUGAGAGGGUGACCGGCCACAUUGGGACUGAGAUACGGCCCAGACUCCUACGGGAGGCAGCAGUGGGGAAUAUUGCACAAUGGGUGGAAGCCUGAUGCAGCAACGCCGUGUGCGGGAUGACGGCCUUCGGGUUGUAAACCGCUUUCGCUCAUGACGAAGCUUUGUGUGACGGUAGUGGGUAAAGAAGCACCGGCUAACUACGUG
This 467-nucleotide ribosomal RNA is filed under the name uncultured bacterium. Its description in RNAcentral is "partial 16S ribosomal RNA". It matches the Rfam family "Bacterial small subunit ribosomal RNA", at positions 28 to 507 of the family's 1533-position model. The record is from RNAcentral.